AAAUAAACAUUCAAUUUCAUUUAUUUGUCUGUUUUCAGGCGUUCUAUCACACUGAUACUACUUGAUCGUCUUAUGCGCACUUCGGGCUGCGGGGUGAGACGUCGGUAGUUACACAAUCUCUUAACAUUCCAAGUGAUCUUCGAAUGCAAUCAUGUCAUGCAAUAUGCGAUCUUAAAGUAAUAUAGAAUUCGUGCGUUGUUUGCAUGUUAUUGUUUUCGGGUUUAUCAACAUCACCUCAACACCGAACUUUUUGUGCGCAAGUCCGGCGCAGGAAGCGGCGCAGGGAAACAAGUUAACGUUCUUCCGCAACGCACGCUCAGCAUCAUCAUUCAGUGCGCGACAUUGUCUGCAGUUACACCUCCGCUAAUAAAAUUGUCAAUAAUUUAUUAAAUCAGUAAAAAAGUGUUGCUACCAAGUGAAAAACAUUCCUCGAGGCACUCACAAGUAAGUUUCUUGCAUUAUUUUCAUUUGCGCCUUUUUAUUAAAUCUGUAAUUUGUAACAUUUGCACGCGACAUUGUUUUAUGCGGCGUUAGACGCGUGUUUGCAAUAUGGCCGCGAUUCAAACGUCGUUUUCACGUUCGCAACCACCAAGUUGCGUCAUCACAUAAAUCAAAUCAUGUACUUGCAAUGCGUCUAAUUGGAAUAUUCGGAUGUAAUUUUAUUGUGCAAUCGACAUGUGGUAUGGGGUGAUCGCAGUUUCACCUUCUCGAAGUGUACGCGGCGAAGUUAUCAGCUGUUUGUUUGCUUUUCACAUGUUUCAAACGGUAACUUUGCGGCAGUAGAGUGCCAAUUGUGCAGCACUGCUAACACAAAGAGACGCCAUGUUGUUGUUUUGAAUUUAACAUUCCAACACCAUUCGGCACUGCUGAUAACGCACUCUUAUUUUUAUUUUCUAGCGUUACAUUUAUCAUUUACUUAUUCUUUAGUAUUUUGUUACAUUUUAAUUCUGUUUUAUUUUCUGUUUAUUGCGUGCGACGUUGUUGAUGGUGCAUUACGAUCGGUUUCUCAAUCCACUUCUUGAAAACGUUCCUGUUUUCCAUCGCAGGCAUAUGACAUUUCAAGGUCACCCACAAGAUGUCCAGAAUUAGUCUUACUUUCCCAAGAAUGGAAAAAGGUACAUAUUCGAUAUAUUGGGGCAUUUUUGUAAUUCGGGCGCGUUCGUUUUCGGUUUAUGUACUUUUUGUGUCUACUAAUAUUUCACACCUUCAUGUUUUAACUAACUACCUCUUAAUAUCAUUAUUACUUUAUUAUUUUUUAAUUCUUUUAAUAUUCUUAUUUUUCAUAAUUUAAAAAAAUCCUUGCCAAUUUAGAUUAAUUUAUCAUUUAUUUAUUUUAUUCUUUAAAAAAAAUUUAGUUCCGAAUAUCUACCAAAUCAUCCUUACCCAGUAUUUUUAAUCUUUGUUUCGAUUCACAGGUAUAAGUGAUAAACGAUAUUCGCGAGAGACCUGGAGAGGUGUAACGAAAUACUCAUCGAGUGCGGGUCGCGACGCGUUUGAUUUAACCAUUUUAUUGAAUCGUGUUCAAUUAGCUACCGAAGGAGGGUCGUGCCUUGUCCCCUUUCACCUGUUAGGGAAAGUACGCAGUGUUUACAAAAAUGUAUCCGAAUAUUCGACAAAUCGAGUGCGGGACGCGAUUAAAAAUCCGAAAGUAUCGCGUAAUCCGUAUUGCACUAUUAAAGUGCGCGUUAAAAAUAAUUCCAAUUCCAUGAGGGUUUGUACGGGGCCUCAACGGACUGCAAGCAUCCUACCAGCGGUUUGGACUCAAGAUUGUAUUAUAAUAUCAACGCCAUAAGUAUAUUUGCCGUGCCUUGGAAUCGGAUGCGUUCUGCAUUGUUUACGGGAUAUUAGCAAUUGAAUGGGCGAAUGAGAAUCAGUUAUACAUUCAUCCACGUACGGUACCCUGAACACGAGUCACUUUUACCGCUAACCUCGUAAGGUGCCCCGAAUUGAGUCACUUCUACCGCUAGCCUCGUAUGGUGCCUCGAAUCGAGUCUCUUCUACCCCUAGCCUCGUAAGGUGCCCCGAAUCGAGUCUCUUCUACGGCUAGCAUUUCACAUACAAAUAUUUCACGCAAAAAGGGUGAAAAAGUCACCCGACAUCGUAGGAGAACCAUUCUUUCAUCAGAUUGUAGGGAUUUUACGCCUGAGCCCAUCAUCGUAGAAAGACCGUUCUUUCAUCAAAUUAGGUUUUACACCUGAGCCCGACUUCGUUAGAGCACCAUUAUUGAAUCAGAUUCGUGCGUAUCUCAACAGUGAUAGUGACCUCGUGUAGUUGCUGUCGGCUGUGCAACUCAAGGCAUGCGCAGUUCCAUUUUGGUUGUCGAGUGAAUCGCGCGUUUUCAUUGCGACUACUUUUUGUUCUUCCAAUCAUAAUUAGGUAAAUUGCGGAAUGUUCAAUUAACAAUUGACGAAAUUUACUGAAAUCGGAUGUGAAUGUUGUUUUUGCUAGUGAGAUAGCAUGCGAUGAAUGUUCAUCAAUCGCAGAGUUAUCGGUGGUUCAUAUAUGCGCGUUUGAUGUUCCGUCGGCCGUCGGUGAUUGUUUUUCGCUUGUGGAAUUACAUUGCACUCGGGUUAAGCCAUGUGUAAAUAACCUGCGUGUCCACACAAACUUAAUAAUAACUUGGAUUUAUGUUUAAUUAAUAUAAAUAAACAAUGUUGAUGCCUGUUGAAGAAGUUUAGGAGCACUUGUGCCAAGGAGUCUACCGCUUCCCUCGCAGAAAUAUUAGAGAUGCGUGUAUUACAAGGCAAGUUUUACUUUCAGGAGAUUAAAGAGCUGUCUAUGAUUUUCGAUUCUAAAAAAUGUAUGUAGUUAUUAAUGUUGCUAAUAAAACAUUAUGUAAUAU
Molecule: long non-coding RNA, 2842 nt
Organism: Dalotia coriaria
Lineage: Eukaryota; Metazoa; Arthropoda; Insecta; Coleoptera; Staphylinidae
Exons: 8
Source: RefSeq, a predicted model, not a curated record